CCAGAGACAAACUCUGCUGUAGGAUCUGCUUCCAAACUCACCCUGCUGUGAGCUCUGAUUCCUGACAGUACUCUCCAUCCCCCGAGGGCACCUCUUUGGGGCCUGGUUUCUUGGGGUCCUCACCAGGUUGUAAGCUCUGCGGAGAUUCAAGUUUGUGAAGACUUUGGCAGAGCAGAGUCUUUUGAACAGCUCAUUUAAUAAAUGAAAGCAGUGGGCCUUAAUUCCUAGAGCUGAUUUUCAAGAUCGUUGGCCUCCAAAGUGGAAAGACAGUGUGAAAAGUUAGUAGAGAUGAGGAGGGAAAACCCGGCCCUGUUGAAGUGAAUGGGAGUUCUGCCAUUGACUUCAGUGGGGGGCCAGGGUUUCAUCCCUGUAGGUAUGGCAACCUCUGUUUACAGCAGCCUUGAAGAUCUUCCAUUUCUCCCCCACAGAAGUGCAUUUGUUAGCUUAUCAUGGGAGGGAUAUACUAAUUCCCACUCAGAUUGGAUUGAAAUUCCAACAGGAUAGCGGUACAAGGCUGACAGUAGAAGGUCAUUAACUCUUGAGUGCUCUGCCAUUACAAUGGAAUAGCUCUAAAUACUAGACUGGCUUCCUAACCAGAGAGGUCACCUGGCAAUAAAAUCACCUGGUAGAUGUCUCUGAUCACCUGAGGAGAUGAAUCCAGAAGACACCUGACAGAGGGCCUGGAAGCUAUAAAAAGACAGAUGCUGCUCUAUUGGGUGUCAUCUCCAGCCAUUGUUCCCCAGCUCAGAUGAACAACUGCAUGAAGAAGCAUGAAAAGAGAAGAGGAAUCCUGACACCUGAACACACAUGG
Molecule: long non-coding RNA, 811 nt
Organism: Mauremys mutica (yellowpond turtle)
Lineage: Eukaryota; Metazoa; Chordata; Testudines; Geoemydidae
Exons: 5
Source: RefSeq, a predicted model, not a curated record